This is a non-coding RNA of Thamnophis sirtalis, 626 nucleotides long. The record is from RefSeq and is a predicted model, not a curated record. NCBI's taxonomy places the organism in Eukaryota, Metazoa, Chordata, Lepidosauria, Squamata, Natricidae.
GCCCUGCAUUCGCUGCUCGGCCGGCGCCUUCCCCUGCUCCGGCAUGCGGCAGUGGCGGUGACCUUCACGCUGGAUGGCUUCCCCUCUUGCAAGCGGAGGUGGAUUCUCAACACAUGGAAAUGGAAGGAACUAAUUCUGUUUACAGAAGCUCCGGAUGUUAAAUAUCUUGCUUGCUUUGUACCUGAGACAUCUGCCUAAUGAAGUGAAUGCUGCACCAUGGCUUGCCUGAUUUCUGCCAUCAUCUUAAAUCCAGGAAUUAUCACCCAUUUCAUUAUGACUGGCAAGCAGACUAAAAAAGAAGAAGCAUUUUCUGCACAGCUGCUUUUUUUUUUGCAAAGAAGGAGAAAGGCUUUUGCCAAGGAAGCAGUGUGUUCUGACCCAGCCUUAGCAGAAGCAAGAAACAAACUCACGAAAAAAAAACCCCUCUUUCUUUACCUCUUGGGAAUUGAUGGCAUUCACCCACCCAAAAGUCCGAGCAAGAGUCCUACAAGGAGUUAAAUGCAGCAACAGACCUUAUCAGUUCCUUGCCAGGCCAUGAGCUCCCAGCCGAAAGGCUGAAAAGCUAAGUUCUGUCAAGCAGUCUCUGUGGCACAAAACACAAUGAGUAAAAUCUUCAGAAAUACGAA